This 372-nucleotide ribosomal RNA is filed under the name uncultured organism. RNAcentral's name for it is "bacterial SSU rRNA". It matches the Rfam family "Bacterial small subunit ribosomal RNA", at positions 526 to 896 of the family's 1533-position model. The record is from RNAcentral.
CAGAGGUCUCAAGCGUUGUUCGGAUUCAUUGGGCGUAAAGGGUGCGUAGGUGGCAGGGCAAGUCAGGUGUGAAAUCUCGGGGCUCAACCUCGAAACUGCACUUGAUACUGCCUUGCUCGAGUACUGGAGAGGAGACCGGAAUUUACGGUGUAGCAGUGAAAUGCGUAGAUAUCGUAAGGAAGACCAGUGGCGAAGGCGAGUCUCAGGACAGUUACUGACACUGAGGCACGAAGGCCAGGGGAGCAAACGGGAUUAGAUACCCCGGUAGUCCUGGCAGUAAACGGUGCGCGUUUGGUGUGGGAGGAUUCGACCCCUUCCGUGCCGGAGCUAACGCGUUAAACGCGCCGCCUGGGGAGUACGGUCGCAAGAUUA